Molecule: long non-coding RNA, 1093 nt
Organism: Ailuropoda melanoleuca (giant panda)
Lineage: Eukaryota; Metazoa; Chordata; Mammalia; Carnivora; Ursidae
Exons: 2
Source: RefSeq, a predicted model, not a curated record
CCAGGGGCCACAAGAGGUUGGAAUUCACUCCUCAAACCUGGUUGCUUUAAAGCUUCUGCCUUCCUGCCCUCUUUUGGCGUCGGUGCCAUAGCCUUUUCAUCCGGCCUUGAGCGUAAAUCAUUAGCUCUAGCCGUGGACACAAAUCGGGACUCAAACACACAGGCAUGUGUGGGAAGGGCCUGAGGGCAGCUCAACGGUGUAAAUGGAAGGCUGCAGAUCUCUCGAGGGGUUUCCUUCUGGAAAAUGGAAUACUCAGAUGGAUUCCAAAUGGAGGGAGAAGAGAUUCCACGCUCACUCAACUGGGUGAAAAAAGCGAGGUACGUGUAGGCAUGGUGAUUGAGAAAGGUGUCCACGUCACGCUGUGAGUUUGAGAACUCGAGCUGCGGGACAGUGCGACCCUACAGAUAUAAGAUAAAAUGAACUGUGUUCGUGUAUGUCGAGUUUAAGAAAUCAUUUUACAGUCAGUGGUUACCUCUGAUGUGGGUGGGAAAUAUUUAAUUUUAUUGCCUUCUUUCCUUUUGGAUUUCUGCAUGGUACUUUUAUCCCUUUUUUAAUUUGAAAAGACAAAUUCUCAUCCACUGUUCCCUCCUCUUUCUGAGAAGGUGAGUUCUCGGAAGAGAACGCAGACCUUUCCUCUGGCCAACCUCCCUUCCCCCUUAUAUCAAACCCCUGGAGUCAGCCCCGAUUUCUGCCUGAUCAGAGGGAGGACUGCUGGGUCAGGACAUCUAUAUGCAGUAUAAAAACAGCCAAGGAAGACAACAAAGUGACCUCUGAACUUUUUAUUGGCCUUCUGCUGCCCAGAGGGUACCCUGCUUUUGCUGCCUCAACGCCUCAGAACUUUGGUGUCGUUGGUCUCAGACACCACCUUGCCGUCCACAAUCCUGCGCGUGGUGGUCUUCUGGAUGGUCUGAAUGGAGCUGCUGCUGUCCAGGGCGUCAGUAAGACUGUAACAGAAGACCGAGCCCCGGUUACGAACAGCUCUGCGGAGUAGCAGGGAGUCAAGGAAAGGGAAGAAAAAAAUGCUCCUGACCCCUGCCUUUAUCUCCACAUUCUUUUGACCACUUCCUCCAUAAAAGAGAAACCCAGGGCCAAA